This is a transfer RNA of Hydnomerulius pinastri MD-312, 112 nucleotides long. It matches the Rfam family "tRNA". Rfam says of the family: Transfer RNA (tRNA) molecules are approximately 80 nucleotides in length. Their secondary structure includes four short double-helical elements and three loops (D, anti-codon, and T loops). NCBI's taxonomy places the organism in Eukaryota, Fungi, Basidiomycota, Agaricomycetes, Boletales. The record is from Rfam.
GGCCAGAUGGCCGAGCGGUCCAAGGCGUGUGACUCAAGCUUACUAAGCUUGCCUGCUUAAGCGGGUUUCUCAUCUUCGUAUGAAGGCAGGAGUUCGAAUCUCCUUCUGGUCA